AUGGCCAUACCAUGUUGAAUAUACCGGUUCUCGUUAGAUCACCGAAGUCAAGCAUCGUUGGGUGCGGUCAGUACUUGGGUGGGUGACCACCUGGGAACACUGGG
This 104-nucleotide ribosomal RNA is filed under the name Caerostris extrusa. The record is from RNAcentral. Lineage: Eukaryota; Metazoa; Arthropoda; Arachnida; Araneae; Araneidae.